This 75-nucleotide transfer RNA is filed under the name Actinomycetaceae bacterium. Its description in RNAcentral is "tRNA-Val". It matches the Rfam family "tRNA". Rfam says of the family: Transfer RNA (tRNA) molecules are approximately 80 nucleotides in length. Their secondary structure includes four short double-helical elements and three loops (D, anti-codon, and T loops). RNAcentral also lists the same sequence under 1 other name. Lineage: Bacteria; Bacillati; Actinomycetota; Actinomycetes; Actinomycetales; Actinomycetaceae. The record is from RNAcentral.
GGGCGAUUGGCGCAGUUUGGUUAGCGCGUUUCCUUGACACGGAAGAGGUCGCUGGUUCGAGUCCAGUAUCGCCCA